GACGAACGCUGGCGGCGUGCUUAACACAUGCAAGUCGAACGGAAAGGCCCUGCUUUUGUGGGGUGCUCGAGUGGCGAACGGGUGAGUAACACGUGAGUAACCUGCCCUUGACUUUGGGAUAACUUCAGGAAACUGGGGCUAAUACCGGAUAGGAGCUCCUGCUGCGUGGUGGGGGUUGGAAAGCUUCGGCGGUUGGGGAUGGACUCGCGGCUUAUCAGCUUGUUGGUGGGGUAGUGGCUUACCAAGGCUUUGACGGGUAGCCGGCCUGAGAGGGUGACCGGCCACAUUGGGACUGAGAUACGGCCCAGACUCCUACGGGAGGCAGCAGUGGGGAAUAUUGCACAAUGGGCGGAAGCCUGAUGCAGCAACGCCGCGUGCGGGAUGACGGCCUUCGGGUUGUAAACCGCUUUCGCCUGUGACGAAGCGUGAGUGACGGUAAUGGGUAAAGAAGCACCGGCUAACUACGUG
This 468-nucleotide ribosomal RNA is filed under the name uncultured bacterium. RNAcentral's name for it is "partial 16S ribosomal RNA". It matches the Rfam family "Bacterial small subunit ribosomal RNA", at positions 28 to 507 of the family's 1533-position model. The record is from RNAcentral.